CCCCUAGAUGUUCUGGGCCGCACGCGCGCUACACUGAACAGUUCAACAAGUCUUAACCUUGGCCGAUAGGUCUGGGUAAUCUUUGAACGCUGUUCGUGAUUGGGAUAGACCUUUGCAAUUAUGGGUCUUCAACGAGGAAUUCCUAGUAAACGCAAGUCAUCAGCUUGCAUUGAUUACGUCCCUGCCCUUUGUACACACCGCCCGUCGCACCUACCGAUUGUGUGUUCCGUUGAGAUGAUUGGAUUGUUUUUUAUUUCUCUCACGAGUUAUUUAAGACGAAAAAUUCAGCAAAACUUGACACAUAGAGGAAGGUGAAGUCGUANCA
RNAcentral lists this ribosomal RNA (325 nucleotides) under uncultured eukaryote. RNAcentral's name for it is "partial 18S ribosomal RNA". It matches the Rfam family "Eukaryotic small subunit ribosomal RNA", at positions 1470 to 1796 of the family's 1831-position model. The record is from RNAcentral.